UACGUAGGGUGCGAGCGUUGUCCGGAAUUAUUGGGCGUAAAGAGCUCGUAGGCGGUUUGUCGCGUCGACUGUGAAAACCCGAGGCUUAACCUCGGGCCUGCAGUCGAUACGGGCAGACUAGAGUUCGGUAGGGGAGACUGGAAUUCCUGGUGUAGCGGUGAAAUGCGCAGAUAUCAGGAGGAACACCGGUGGCGAAGGCGGGUCUCUGGGCCGGUACUGACGCUGAGACGCGAAAGCGUGGGGAGCGAACAGG
This 253-nucleotide ribosomal RNA is filed under the name uncultured bacterium. Its description in RNAcentral is "partial 16S ribosomal RNA". It matches the Rfam family "Bacterial small subunit ribosomal RNA", at positions 524 to 776 of the family's 1533-position model. The record is from RNAcentral.